This 1449-nucleotide ribosomal RNA is filed under the name Bordetella bronchiseptica. RNAcentral describes it as "bacterial SSU rRNA". It matches the Rfam family "Bacterial small subunit ribosomal RNA". The record is from RNAcentral. Lineage: Bacteria; Pseudomonadati; Pseudomonadota; Betaproteobacteria; Burkholderiales; Alcaligenaceae.
GGAGCAUAGGCCGGGUAGCUUUACCAUGCACGUCGGACGGCAGUCAUCGGGCUUCGGCCUGGUAGGCGAGUGGCGAACGGGUGAGUAAUGUAUCGGAACGUGCCCAGUAGCGGGGGAUAACUACGCGAAAGCGUGGCUAAUACCGCAUACGCCCUACGGGGGAAAGCGGGGGACCUUCGGGCCUCGCACUAUUGGAGCGGCCGAUAUCGGAUUAGCUAGUUGGUGGGGUAACGGCCUACCAAGGCGACGAUCCGUAGCUGGUUUGAGAGGACGACCAGCCACACUGGGACUGAGACACGGCCCAGACUCCUACGGGAGGCAGCAGUGGGGAAUUUUGGACAAUGGGGGCAACCCUGAUCCAGCCAUUCCCGCCGUGUGCGAUGAAGGCCUUCGGGUUGUAAAGCACUUUUGGCAGGAAAGAAACGGCACGGGCUAAUAUCCUGUGCAACUGACGGUACCUGCAGAAUAAGCACCCGGCUAACUACGUGCCAGCAGCCGCGGUAAUACGUAGGGUGCAAGCGUUAAUCGGAAUUACUGGGCGUAAAGCGUGCGCAGGCGGUUCGGAAAGAAAGAUGUGAAAUCCCAGGGCUUAACCUUGGAACUGCAUUUUUAACUACCGGGCUAGAGUGUGUCAGAGGGAGGUGGAAUUCCGCGUGUAGCAGUGAAAUGCGUAGAUAUGCGGAGGAACACCGAUGGCGAAGGCAGCCUCCUGGGAUAACACUGACGCUCAUGCACGAAAGCGUGGGGAGCAAACAGGAUUAGAUACCCUGGUAGUCCACGCCCUAAACGAUGUCAACUAGCUGUUGGGGCCUUCGGGCCUUGGUAGCGCAGCUAACGCGUGAAGUUGACCGCCUGGGGAGUACGGUCGCAAGAUUAAAACUCAAAGGAAUUGACGGGGACCCGCACAAGCGGUGGAUGAUGUGGAUUAAUUCGAUGCAACGCGAAAAACCUUACCUACCCUUGACAUGUCUGGAAUCCCGAAGAGAUUUGGGAGUGCUCGCAAGAGAACCCGGAACACAGGUGCUGCAUGGCUGUCGUCAGCUCGUGUCGUGAGAAUGUUGGGUUAAGUCCCGCAACGAGCGCAACCCUUGUCAUUAGUUGCUACGAAAGGGCACUCUAAUGAGACUGCCGGUGACAAACCGGAGGAAGGUGGGGAUGACGUCAAGUCCUCAUGGCCCUUAUGGGUAGGGCUUCACACGUCAUACAAUGGUCGGGACAGAGGGUCGCCAACCCGCGAGGGGGAGCCAAUCCCAGAAACCCGAUCGUAGUCCGGAUCGCAGUCUGCAACUCGACUGCGUGAAGUCGGAAUCGCUAGUAAUCGCGGAUCAGCAUGUCGCGGUGAAUACGUUCCCGGGUCUUGUACACACCGCCCGUCACACCAUGGGAGUGGGUUUUACCAGAAGUAGUUAGCCUAACCGCAAGGGGGGCGAUACCACGUAGAUUAGUGGC